CGUCGUUUGUCCACGUGAGCUUCAUUCAGCUGAGCGCUGCAGAGAUGAAUGGCUGGGGUUUGUUUGAACAAUCUUAUGCUUAAUAUAUUUCCUGCUCACAAAUGUUAUAAAUGUCUUGUAUGUGUAUGUUCUGUUCGUUGCUCUCUGGUGUUUUGAGUCGCGUGCAUGCAGUGAAACCGCACAGCCACGCGGAUGGAGCUGUACAAACACCUCUAAUGAGACAUGAACGCUUAUUUAACGCAGUGAUGAUUUUUCCGUUUAUGUAAUCAUGCCUGCGCUCGGCAGCGUGAAAGCAGCAUUUGAUCGUGAAAUCACGCCAUAUAUAUUUGUGAAGCAGACUGAAGUCCUGGAAUGCUUGAGUGCGGGGGUGUCUGUCUGUCCCUUCACUGCAGUCACACAUCUGACCAGCAUAUGCAUGCCUCACACUGCAAACACAGAAAUAAACGGCUUUGAAAAUGUUAUUUGAAUUGUUUACAGGGGGUGGAAGAUGGAAACGCUGGAAAAAUGGAGCAGAGACAUCAUGGAACCUCAUCAGCUGGAUAAGAAAGAGCAGUCCAAACAAAAUGGCUCCUGUCCAGAUCUGAUGCAUAGGAACGAGCAGCCUGACUCCCGGCCGCUUGCCAUGGCCUUGACACCCCAGCUACCCCCCAGGACCCAUCGGCCCCUGUGUCUCUCAGUGUCCUCUGACAGCAGUGGACGCUUCAAAGCUCUGGAGACCCAGGAAUGGAAGAACAACCUCAAAGCUCAGAUGGAGCAGGCCCAUAGUGCCGGAGCAGCCAGCAGUACAGGUUCCCUUGAAAGAGCGUCUCUCUUUUGUGCUUCUGGCUCCACCACCCCCUCCAGCUCUGGCCUCUCCAGUCCGGUGGAGCACCUCACCAAGAGCAAGUCCUCUAGUCGCUUUUCACUCUUCUCCCCACCUUGGAACAGCAGCUCUGAGUCCGACUCCAAUCCACCUUCCCGCUCCGGAUCCAAGAAAAUGCACAACUACAGUCGCAGAGCCGGUCCCGGCAGUGCCAAAACGGGCCCAGAGACUCCAGAACCCAAGCAGAGCAUCCCUGAGCACUUCCAGUACUCAGAUCCGGUCAUAUCCAAGGUUACAGACUACAUUUAUGUGGGGAACCUGAACGCGGCUUAUAGUGGACGUACGUUGUGCCGUAAUAACAUCGACAGCAUCAUCGACAUGAGCAGCCUACCCGGGGAGACUUGUUUGAGAGUCAUUCCUUGCACUUGUUCAAGGGGUGUAAAGCAUAGUUGGUCUCGGCUCAAAGUAGACAUGACCGACCUUCCGGACACUGUCCAAGAAGGGCUGGCACUCAAGCACCGCUGCUUUGAGGACAUCAAUGAGUGCAUCGAUGCCUCCACGGAGAAGAGGAAGCGAGUGUUAGUGCAUUGUCGUGAUGGUUUUUCCCUUGCCCCCACUUGCAUUAUUCAGUACCUCAUGGUAAAACAAAAUAUGAGGCUUAUAGCUGCCUACGAGCUGCUCCGAGCCAGACACCCUGUAAACAUUCGAGAUUCCCAUCAAAACGUUCUGGUAAGUCUGGAAAGAGCUCUGAGACCGGGUGGGAACACGAAUCCAGAGUGCUUUAAACAGGCCAUCUCCCGCAAAGUGGCUUGGACCUGAUAGCGAACCUUGGGGGGCCCCCCUUCCCUUCCCUUCCCUUCCCUUCCCUUCCCUUCCC
Long non-coding RNA from Cyprinus carpio carpio, 1679 nucleotides. NCBI's taxonomy places the organism in Eukaryota, Metazoa, Chordata, Actinopteri, Cypriniformes, Cyprinidae. The record is from Ensembl.